GCUGGGUGCGGUGGCAUGUGCCUGUAGUCCCAGCUACUUGGGAGUCUGAGGUGGGAGGAUUGCUUGAUCCCAGGAGUUCUGGGAUGCAGUGUGCUAUGCUGAUCAGGUAUCCACACUAAGUUCGGCAUCAAUAUGGUGUCCUCCCGGGAGCGGAGGACCACCAGGUUGCUUAAGGAGGGGUGAACCAGCCAAGUUCAGAAAUGGAGCAGGUCAAAACUUCUGUGCUGAUCAGUAGGGGGAUUGUGCCUGUGAAUAGCCGCUGCACUCCAGCCUGGGCAACAUAGUGAGACCCCGUCUCUA
Unclassified non-coding RNA from Callithrix jacchus (white-tufted-ear marmoset), 300 nucleotides. It matches the Rfam family "Metazoan signal recognition particle RNA". From Rfam's summary of the family: The signal recognition particle (SRP) is a universally conserved ribonucleoprotein. NCBI's taxonomy places the organism in Eukaryota, Metazoa, Chordata, Mammalia, Primates, Cebidae. The record is from Ensembl.